This 425-nucleotide ribosomal RNA is filed under the name uncultured bacterium. Its description in RNAcentral is "partial 16S ribosomal RNA". It matches the Rfam family "Bacterial small subunit ribosomal RNA", at positions 354 to 796 of the family's 1533-position model. The record is from RNAcentral.
GUGGGGAAUAUUGGACAAUGGGCGCAAGCCUGAUCCAGCCAUGCCGCGUGAGUGAUGAAGGCCCUAGGGUUGUAAAGCUCUUUCACCGGUGAAGAUAAUGACGGUAACCGGAGAAGAAGCCCCGGCUCACUUCGUGCCAGCAGCCGCGGUAAUACGAAGGGGGCUAGCGUUGUUCGGAAUUACUGGGCGUAAAGCGCACGUAGGCGGACAUUUAAGUCAGGGGUGAAAUCCCGGGGCUCAACCCCGGCACUGCCUUUGAUACUGGGUGUCUGGGGUAUGGAAGUGGUAAGUGGAAUUCCGAGUGUAGAGGUGAAAUUCGUAGAUAUUCGGAGGAACACCAGUGGCGAAGGCGGCUUACUGGUCCAUUACUGACGCUGAGGUGCGAAAGCGUGGGGAGCAAACAGGAUUAGAAACCCGAGUAGUCC